GUUAGGAAUAUUGGACAAUGGGCGCAAGCCUGAUCCAGCCAUGCCGCGUGAGUGAUGAAGGCCUUCGGGUUGUAAAGCUCUUUAGUCCACGAAUAUAAUGACUGUAGUGGAAGAAUAAGCCCCGGCUAACUUCGUGCCAGCAGCCGCGGUAAUACGAAGGGGGCGAGCGUUAUUCGGAAUCACUGGGCGUAAAGCGUGCGUAGGCUGUUUUGUAAGUCAGAAGUGAAAGCCCAGGGCUUAACCCUGGAAUUGCUUUUGAAACGACAAGACUCGAAUUCGGGAGAGGAUAGCGGAAUUGUCAGUGUAGCAGUGAAAUGCGUAGAUAUUGACAGGAACACCAGUGGCGCAAGCGGCUAUCUGGACCGAUAUUGACGCUGAGGCACGAAAGCGUGGGGAGCAAACAGGAUUAGAAACCCUGGUAGUC
Molecule: ribosomal RNA, 424 nt
Filed under: uncultured bacterium
Lineage: Bacteria
Description: partial 16S ribosomal RNA
Rfam family: Bacterial small subunit ribosomal RNA
Source: RNAcentral